RNAcentral lists this unclassified non-coding RNA (374 nucleotides) under soil metagenome. RNAcentral's name for it is "partial contains internal transcribed spacer 2 and large subunit ribosomal RNA". The stretch from base 1 to 120 matches the Rfam family "5.8S ribosomal RNA", at positions 35 to 154 of the family's 154-position model. The record is from RNAcentral.
GAUGAAGAACGUAGCGAAAUGCGAUAAUUAAUGUGAAUUGCAGAAUUCCGUGAAUCAUCGAGUCUUUGAACGCACAUUGCGCCUCAUGGCAUUCCGUGAGGCAUGCCCAUCUCAGCGUUAGAAAAUAUUCUCAAAUUUUAGUUUUGUGCUAAAAUUUGGAUCAUGUCAAGGAAGCUAUUACUAUUAUUGUGAUCGCUCUUUGGAAAUUGAUAGGUCUUUGAGUUGCUACUCAUAGAACGUGAUGAAUCUUUCUUCGUUCUAUUGUAAUUCACUCUGGUAGUCCUAAGACUUGUAUGCCUGUGGCAUAUCUUGUAAUUUGACCUGAGAUUGGGUAGGGAUACCCGCUGAACUUAAGCAUAUCAAUAAGCGGAGGA